UGCCGCGUGAGUGAUGAAGGCCUUAGGGUUGUAAAGCUCUUUCACCCACGACGAUGAUGACGGUAGUGGGAGAAGAAGCCCCGGCUAACUUCGUGCCAGCAGCCGCGGUA
RNAcentral lists this ribosomal RNA (110 nucleotides) under uncultured bacterium. RNAcentral describes it as "partial 16S ribosomal RNA". It matches the Rfam family "Bacterial small subunit ribosomal RNA", at positions 395 to 522 of the family's 1533-position model. The record is from RNAcentral.